Molecule: long non-coding RNA, 1755 nt
Organism: Pongo pygmaeus (Bornean orangutan)
Lineage: Eukaryota; Metazoa; Chordata; Mammalia; Primates; Hominidae
Exons: 5
Source: RefSeq, a predicted model, not a curated record
GAAGUGUAUAACCUUGGGCAGAUCGUUUAACUUCUCUCUGCUUUACAUUUACAAGCGGUAAUACAAAGAGACAGGAUUAUAUGGUCUCCAAGGUCCCAUCCAGCCCAUUUAACACAGCGUUGUGGCUCUGGAGACCUGGAAGCACCACUAACUGUUCUCCUGAUUUUCUGAUGCUCAGCCACAUCAACCUGUCAUGCUAGUUGUGAGGAGAAGUCAAGGACAGUGACACAGCCAGCCAGUCUGAGGGGUUUUCCAUCAUCCUGAAGGAGUUGCCCUAUCCUGCUUUUCACUGGAGGGGGCAUGGAUGGGUAGGUAAACACACCUGCUGUGAAGUUUCUAGUUCUAUCCUCCCGCAAGGCCUUCAGGGAUAAGUGUGUUAGAAGAUUGGUCAGUAUCAUUUGCCAACUUGAUGUCUCUUCCUUUUUUAAUGAUCAUUAGUUUCCCCACUGUUUCCUGUCACAGGAUUCAAUUUCACUCCACAUUCAUCCUUUCUUACUGGGCACUGAUGUUGAGAGCAUCAGUCAGGGUAUAAUGUUAUGUUGCAGUAACAAACACCCUCGAUAUCUCAGUGGCUUAAAAUGACAAAGAUCUUUUUUUUGUUUGUUUUGUUUAUGCUCUAUAUCACCCAGGGACCCUGGAUGACAAAGCAGUCACCUACUUGAACACUACUAAUUAUGAUGUCAGAAAGAGGAAAGUUUGCAGAGUUUUGUAUUGGCAAUCAAACAUUCAGCCACAGGUCACAGUCUAGAACCAGACACAUCAGUGUCCUGAACUGCAAAGUAGCCAGGAAGCAGCAUCCCAUAACACAGUCCUAUGUCCACUGCUUUGGAGGUCUGGAAUGUAUAAUUGGAGUAGACAUUCUCAGCAGCUGGCAGAAACCCCACAUUUGUUCCAUGACAUGUGGAAUGAAGGCUACGAUGGUAGGAAAAGAUAAGUGGAAGCUGCUAAAACUGCCUUUACCUUGAAAAAUAUUAAACACAAAGAAACACUACAUUCCUGGAAAGACUGCACCAUCAAGCACUUGAAAGACUCAGGGAUGGGGUGAUACUUAUUAUGUUCUCACUCAACUUGCCUGUGUGGGAGUCAGAUGAAUCUUGGAGAAUGACAGUGGAUUAUUAUAAGCUUAACCAGGAAUUUCUAUUCUUACAGCAGAAAUAGACAUUUGUAAUAAGCUUUGGCUCACAGUCAGGAUUGCCAUUGCCACUGCAAAACAGGCAAAUUGAAUUGAAGCAGCUAAAAAAACCUCAGGUUUUGGUGAAGUUUGCAGGUUGGAUUACCAGCAGCUACUGCAGAGAGAAGUUGGGAUUGCAAAUACGGCAUUUGUUGACACUGAGCAUUGUUUAAUGCCCUGUAUAGACCAUCAUACAAACCAUGUCAGAAUUCCUAGUCUUUUACUUCUAAAUUUUAUGACAUCGUGUGAAAUUUAGAAAAAUAUAAGCUGUUUAUUUUCUUGAUGAAGAUAGGUGAAGAAAUACAGAAAAGAAUUAAUGAAAGCAAACCCCAACUUUUAGAUUUGGACACACCUUUGCUAAAAACUAUCAACAUUUUCCCCUUGAAAUUCUGAGUGGAAAGAUAUGUGCUUCCCUAAGUCAGGAGCUGUAUAUGCACCCCCCACCCGAAACAUUUUUUGGGCAAAUGGAAUCAUUAAAGGAAUGAGAGGUAUCUACUCUUCAGUUCCCACUCAUUGGCACAAACAGAAAACACUACUGCAGCUUUCAGAGGUGAAAGCUACUGUCUUCAAGGUGGAGACAAGAG